Molecule: unclassified non-coding RNA, 426 nt
Filed under: Dracocephalum integrifolium
Lineage: Eukaryota; Viridiplantae; Streptophyta; Magnoliopsida; Lamiales; Lamiaceae
Description: partial external transcribed spacer
Source: RNAcentral
CCUCACCGACAUCAGCCCGACUCCGAACCGAGCCACGGGGGCACAGUCGAAAACCGAACCGACGGUCGUUCGCACGAAGCGUAGAACGCUUUUUUUGUGGUGCUCCGAGGCCGAGGCCCCGUACCCACAUGAUAUUCCAUACUCGAGAGACCGAGCGACCCGUCAUGGUUCGUCGGCCUGGACGCCGUUUCACAGGCGAACAGGGCGCGAGACACGACGUGCGCUAAUUGGCCCACCCCGCGCCACCAGACCCUUUUCGGGCAGCAACACAGGACGAGAAUGAGAAGAUGUUAGUCGAUAGAAUGCCCUAACGAUAGGUAUGCAGYACAGGAAAACCGAUGUCGGACGAGCACUUGCUCGUGCCAACAACUGAAGAGACACGGACGGGAUGCCGUCGCUGCCCGAGCAGGGAUCCGACAUGCCGUU